GGUUAAGCGACUAAGCGUACACGGUGGAUGCCCUGGCAGUCAGAGGCGAUGAAGGACGUGCUAAUCUGCGAUAAGCGUCGGUAAGGUGAUAUGAACCGUUAUAACCGGCGAUUUCCGAAUGGGGAAACCCAGUGUGUUUCGACACACUAUCAUUAACUGAAUCCAUAGGUUAAUGAGGCGAACCGGGGGAACUGAAACAUCUAAGUACCCCGAGGAAAAGAAAUCAACCGAGAUUCCCCCAGUAGCGGCGAGCGAACGGGGAGCAGCCCAGAGCCUGAAUCAGUGUGUGUGUUAGUGGAAGCGUCUGGAAAGGCGCGCGAUACAGGGUGACAGCCCCGUACACAAAAAUGCACAUGCUGUGAGCUCGAUGAGUAGGGCGGGACACGUGGUAUCCUGUCUGAAUAUGGGGGGACCAUCCUCCAAGGCUAAAUACUCCUGACUGACCGAUAGUGAACCAGUACCGUGAGGGAAAGGCGAAAAGAACCCCGGCGAGGGGAGUGAAAAAGAACCUGAAACCGUGUACGUACAAGCAGUGGGAGCCUCUUUAUGGGGUGACUGCGUACCUUUUGUAUAAUGGGUCAGCGACUUAUAUUCUGUAGCAAGGUUAACCGAAUAGGGGAGCCGAAGGGAAACCGAGUCUUAACUGGGCGUUAAGUUGCAGGGUAUAGACCCGAAACCCGGUGAUCUAGCCAUGGGCAGGUUGAAGGUUGGGUAACACUAACUGGAGGACCGAACCGACUAAUGUUGAAAAAUUAGCGGAUGACUUGUGGCUGGGGGUGAAAGGCCAAUCAAACCGGGAGAUAGCUGGUUCUCCCCGAAAGCUAUUUAGGUAGCGCCUCGUGAAUUCAUCUCCGGGGGUAGAGCACUGUUUCGGCAAGGGGGUCAUCCCGACUUACCAACCCGAUGCAAACUGCGAAUACCGGAGAAUGUUAUCACGGGAGACACACGGCGGGUGCUAACGUCCGUCGUGAAGAGGGAAACAACCCAGACCGCCAGCUAAGGUCCCAAAGUCAUGGUUAAGUGGGAAACGAUGUGGGAAGGCCCAGACAGCCAGGAUGUUGGCUUAGAAGCAGCCAUCAUUUAAAGAAAGCGUAAUAGCUCACUGGUCGAGUCGGCCUGCGCGGAAGAUGUAACGGGGCUAAACCAUGCACCGAAGCUGCGGCAGCGACGCUGAUGCGUUGUUGGGUAGGGGAGCGUUCUGUAAGCCUGCGAAGGUGUGCUGUGAGGCAUGCUGGAGGUAUCAGAAGUGCGAAUGCUGACAUAAGUAACGAUAAAGCGGGUGAAAAGCCCGCUCGCCGGAAGACCAAGGGUUCCUGUCCAACGUUAAUCGGGGCAGGGUGAGUCGACCCCUAAGGCGAGGCCGAAAGGCGUAGUCGAUGGGAAACAGGUUAAUAUUCCUGUACUUGGUGUUACUGCGAAGGGGGGACGGAGAAGGCUAUGUUGGCCGGGCGACGGUUGUCCCGGUUUAAGCGUGUAGGCUGGUUUUCCAGGCAAAUCCGGAAAAUCAAGGCUGAGGCGUGAUGACGAGGCACUACGGUGCUGAAGCAACAAAUGCCCUGCUUCCAGGAAAAGCCUCUAAGCAUCAGGUAACAUCAAAUCGUACCCCAAACCGACACAGGUGGUCAGGUAGAGAAUACCAAGGCGCUUGAGAGAACUCGGGUGAAGGAACUAGGCAAAAUGGUGCCGUAACUUCGGGAGAAGGCACGCUGAUAUGUAGGUGAAGCGACUUGCUCGUGGAGCUGAAAUCAGUCGAAGAUACCAGCUGGCUGCAACUGUUUAUUAAAAACACAGCACUGUGCAAACACGAAAGUGGACGUAUACGGUGUGACGCCUGCCCGGUGCCGGAAGGUUAAUUGAUGGGGUCAGCGCAAGCGAAGCUCUUGAUCGAAGCCCCGGUAAACGGCGGCCGUAACUAUAACGGUCCUAAGGUAGCGAAAUUCCUUGUCGGGUAAGUUCCGACCUGCACGAAUGGCGUAAUGAUGGCCAGGCUGUCUCCACCCGAGACUCAGUGAAAUUGAACUCGCUGUGAAGAUGCAGUGUACCCGCGGCAAGACGGAAAGACCCCGUGAACCUUUACUAUAGCUUGACACUGAACAUUGAGCCUUGAUGUGUAGGAUAGGUGGGAGGCUUAGAAGUGUGGACGCCAGUCUGCAUGGAGCCGACCUUGAAAUACCACCCUUUAAUGUUUGAUGUUCUAACGUUGACCCGUAAUCCGGGUUGCGGACAGUGUCUGGUGGGUAGUUUGACUGGGGCGGUCUCCUCCUAAAGAGUAACGGAGGAGCACGAAGGUUGGCUAAUCCUGGUCGGACAUCAGGAGGUUAGUGCAAUGGCAUAAGCCAGCUUGACUGCGAGCGUGACGGCGCGAGCAGGUGCGAAAGCAGGUCAUAGUGAUCCGGUGGUUCUGAAUGGAAGGGCCAUCGCUCAACGGAUAAAAGGUACUCCGGGGAUAACAGGCUGAUACCGCCCAAGAGUUCAUAUCGACGGCGGUGUUUGGCACCUCGAUGUCGGCUCAUCACAUCCUGGGGCUGAAGUAGGUCCCAAGGGUAUGGCUGUUCGCCAUUUAAAGUGGUACGCGAGCUGGGUUUAGAACGUCGUGAGACAGUUCGGUCCCUAUCUGCCGUGGGCGCUGGAGAACUGAGGGGGGCUGCUCCUAGUACGAGAGGACCGGAGUGGACGCAUCACUGGUGUUCGGGUUGUCAUGCCAAUGGCACUGCCCGGUAGCUAAAUGCGGAAGAGAUAAGUGCUGAAAGCAUCUAAGCACGAAACUUGCCCCGAGAUGAGUUCUCCCUGACUCCUUGAGAGUCCUGAAGGAACGUUGAAGACGACGACGUUGAUAGGCCGGGUGUGUAAGCGCAGCGAUGCGUUGAGCUAACCGGUACUAAUGAACCGUGAGGCUUAACCUU
RNAcentral lists this ribosomal RNA (2903 nucleotides) under Escherichia coli. RNAcentral describes it as "23S ribosomal RNA". It matches the Rfam family "Bacterial large subunit ribosomal RNA". Lineage: Bacteria; Pseudomonadati; Pseudomonadota; Gammaproteobacteria; Enterobacterales; Enterobacteriaceae. The record is from RNAcentral.